Molecule: ribosomal RNA, 820 nt
Filed under: uncultured Clostridium sp.
Lineage: Bacteria; Bacillati; Bacillota; Clostridia; Eubacteriales; Clostridiaceae
Description: bacterial SSU rRNA
Rfam family: Bacterial small subunit ribosomal RNA
Source: RNAcentral
GAUUCGGAGCUUACCAUGCAGUCGAGGGGCAGCACGGGUAGCAAUACUUGGUGGCGACCGGCGCAAGGGUGCGUAACGCGUGAGCAACAUGCCCGUAUCAGGGGGAUAAUCCAGGGAAACUUGGUCUAAUACCCCAUAGUAAUUUCGUAAGGCAUCUUAUGGGAUUUAAAGCUUUGGUGGAUACGGAUUGGCUCGCGUGACAUUAGCUGGAUGGUAAGGUAACGGCUUACCAUGGCUAUGAUGUCUAGGGGUUCUGAGAGGAAGGUCCCCCACACUGGAACUGAGACACGGUCCAGACUCCUACGGGAGGCAGCAGUGAGGAAUAUUGGACAAUGGAUGGAAAUCUGAUCCAGCCAUGCCGCGUGAAGGAAGAAUGUCCUAUGGAUUGUAAACUUCUUUUGUAUGGGAGCAAUAAGGUCUUCGUGAAGACUGAUGAGAGUACCAUACGAAUAAGCAUCGGCUAACUCCGUGCCAGCAGCCGCGGUAAUACGGAGGAUGCGAGCGUUAUCCGGAUUUAUUGGGUUUAAAGGGUGCGUAGGCUGUUAUAUAAGUCAGUGGUGAAAUAUUCGGGCUCAACCGGGAUACUGCCAUUGAUACUGUAUAGCUGGAAUAUGGUUGCUGUGGGUGGAAUGUGUGGUGUAGCGGUGAAAUGCAUAGAUAUCACACAGAAUAUCGAUUGCGAAGGCAACUCACAAAGCCAUUAUUGACGCUGAUGCACGAAAGUGUGGGGAUCAAACAGGAUUAGAUACCCUGGUAGUCCACACUGUAAACGAUGAUAACUAGCUGUCGGCGAUAGAUAGUCGGUGGCUAAGCGAAAGCG